Molecule: ribosomal RNA, 253 nt
Filed under: uncultured bacterium
Lineage: Bacteria
Description: partial 16S ribosomal RNA
Rfam family: Bacterial small subunit ribosomal RNA
Source: RNAcentral
UACGAAGGGGGCGAGCGUUGUUCGGAAUUACUGGGCGUAAAGAGCGCGUAGGCGGUCCGGUAAGUCCGCUCUGAAAGUCCGGGGCUCAACCCCGGGAGGCGGGCGGAUACUGUCGGGCUAGAGUCCGGAAGAGGCGAGUGGAAUUCCUGGUGUAGCGGUGAAAUGCGCAGAUAUCUGGAGGAACACCGGUGGCGAAGGCGGCAUCCUGGACCGGUAUUGACGCUGAGGCGCGAAAGCUAGGGGAGCAAACGGG